UAGAGUUUGAUCAUGGCUCAGAAUCAACGCUGGCGGCGUGCAUAACACAUGCAAGUCGAACGAGAAAGCGGGGGCAACUCCGCAAGUAAAGUGGCAGACGGGUGAGUAACACGUGAAUAACCCACACCCCUGUGGGGAAUAACCCCGCGAAAGCGGGGCUAAUACCGCAUAACAUCACGGGAUCGCAUGGUCUUGUGAUCAAAGGCUUCGGUCGCUGGGGAAGGGGUUCACGCCUGAUUAGCUAGUUGGUGAGGUAACGGCCCACCAAGGCAACGAUCAGUAGCCGGCCUGAGAGGGCGUACGGCCACACUGGAACUGAGACACGGUCCAGACUCCUACGGGAGGCAGCAGUGGGGAAUUUUGCGCAAUGGGCGAAAGCCUGACGCAGCAACGCCGCGUGGAGGAUGAAGGUCUUCGGAUCGUAAACUCCUGUCAGGGGGGACGAAAGCCGCGCAAGCGGUCUGACUGUACCCUCUGAGGAAGCCACGGCUAACUCCGUGCCAGCAGCCGCGGUAAUACGGAGGUGGCAAGCGUUGUUCGGAAUUACUGGGCGUAAAGGGCGCGUAGGCGGCUUGGCAAGUCAGAUGUGAAAGCCCCGGGCUUAACUUGGGAAUUGCAUCUGAAACUGCUUUGCUUGAGUCCUGGAGGGGGUAGUGGAAUUCCCAGUGUAGCGGUGAAAUGCGUAGAUAUUGGGAGGAACACCUGCGGCGAAGGCGGCUACCUGGACAGUGACUGACGCUGAGGCGCGAAAGCUAGGGGAGCAAACGGGAUUAGAUACCCCGGUAGUCNNNNCCGU
RNAcentral lists this ribosomal RNA (796 nucleotides) under uncultured Acidobacteriota bacterium. Its description in RNAcentral is "bacterial SSU rRNA". It matches the Rfam family "Bacterial small subunit ribosomal RNA", at positions 1 to 803 of the family's 1533-position model. The record is from RNAcentral. Lineage: Bacteria; Pseudomonadati; Acidobacteriota.